This 466-nucleotide ribosomal RNA is filed under the name uncultured bacterium. Its description in RNAcentral is "partial 16S ribosomal RNA". It matches the Rfam family "Bacterial small subunit ribosomal RNA", at positions 28 to 507 of the family's 1533-position model. The record is from RNAcentral.
GAUGAACGCUGGCGGCGUGCUUAACACAUGCAAGUCGAACGGAAAGGCCAGUGCUUGCACUGGUACUCGAGUGGCGAACGGGUGAGUAACACGUGGGUGAUCUGCCCUGUACUUCGGGAUAAGCUUGGGAAACUGGGUCUAAUACCGGAUAGGACAACUUUUUGGAUAUUGUUGUGGAAAGCUUUUGCGGUAUGGGAUGAGCUCGCGGCCUAUCAGCUUGUUGGUGGGGUAAUGGCCUACCAAGGCGUCGACGGGUAGCCGGCCUGAGAGGGUGUACGGCCACAUUGGGACUGAGAUACGGCCCAGACUCCUACGGGAGGCAGCAGUGGGGAAUAUUGCACAAUGGGCGCAAGCCUGAUGCAGCGACGCCGCGUGGGGGAUGAAGGCCUUCGGGUUGUAAACUCCUUUCGCUAGGGACGAAGCGUAAGUGACGGUACCUGGAGAAGAAGAACCGGCUAACUACGUG